GAUGAACGCUGGCGACGUGCCUAAUACAUGCAAGUCGAGCGAACAGAUGAGGAGCUUGCUCCUCUGACGUUAGCGGCGGACGGGUGAGUAACACGUGGAUAACCUACCUAUAAGACUGGGAUAACUUCGGGAAACCGGAGCUAAUACCGGAUAAUAUAUUUAACCGCAUGGUUCAAUAGUGAAAGACGGUUUUGCUGUCACUUAUAGAUGGAUCCGCGCCGCAUUAGCUAGUUGGUAAGGUAACGGCUUACCAAGGCAACGAUGCGUAGCCGACCUGAGAGGGUGAUCGGCCAAACUGGAACUGAGACACGGUCCAGACUCCUAUGGGAGGCAGCAGUAGGGAAUCUUCCGCAAUGGGCGAAAGCCUGACGGAGCAAAGCCGCGUGAGUGAUGAAGGUCUUCGGAUCGUAAAACUCUGUUAUUAGGGAAGAACAAAUGUGUAAGUAACUAUGCACGUCUUGACGGUACCUAAUCAGAAAGCCACGGCUAACUACGUG
Molecule: ribosomal RNA, 497 nt
Filed under: uncultured bacterium
Lineage: Bacteria
Description: partial 16S ribosomal RNA
Rfam family: Bacterial small subunit ribosomal RNA
Source: RNAcentral